GAGGAAUAUUGGGCAAUGCCCGAAAGGGUGACCCAGCAACGCCGCGUGGAGGAUGAAGGUCGUAAGAUUGUAAACUCCUGUUAGAGGGGAAGAAUAACUAAGUUUGGAGCUCAGUAUGACUGUACCCUCAGAGAAAGCCCCGGCUAACUACGUGCCAGCAGCCGCGGCAAUACGUAGGGGGCAAGCGUUGUCCGGAUUUACUGGGUGUAAAGGGUGCGCAGGCGGAAUGGAAAGUCAGUGGUGAAAUCCUACAGCUUAACUGUAGAACUGCCGUUGAUACUUUCAUUCUUGAGUUCGGGAGAGAGACGGAAUUCCAAGUGUAGGGGUGAAUUACGUGGAUAUCUGUAAGAACACCAGUUGCGAAGGCGGUCUCUUGGUCCGAUACUGACGCUGAGGCGCGAAAGC
This 405-nucleotide ribosomal RNA is filed under the name uncultured bacterium. RNAcentral describes it as "bacterial SSU rRNA". It matches the Rfam family "Bacterial small subunit ribosomal RNA", at positions 356 to 760 of the family's 1533-position model. The record is from RNAcentral.